GGAACCCAGGACACAGAGUUGAGAGGGGGUGAGGGGUAGAGGCAGGUAAAGAACGAAAUCUUAAUUCUCAUUUCAGUGACACUUUCCUCAACUUUUCCUGUCCUUCCCCAUCAGGUUGUUAGCCAGGGGCCUGAGGAGGGAUAAAGGAACUGCAGUCCCGGCUCCCUCCAUUAGGAAGAAUGUCUGGGGUGUUGGCCUGGAACGCUGAUGAGUUGAUUUCCUUCUAUCUCCACAGCAUAGGUUUACCAGGGAGAAAAGAAAGAUAUUAAAGCCAUGACAGCAAACAGCCCCUUUCUCCUAAGGUUCCUGAUUUGAAGUGGCAAAACAAGGCAGUGGCAUAGUCUCCUGUCCUAUGUCCUUGGCAUGCAGCCUCCACCCAGCUCUGGCUGCAGAGGGCCGCACUCCGCUUGUACCGCAAUUCAUGCACAGUCCAGACUUAUACAGCAGCCGGCAACCCUAAGGGCAGGAUGAUUCCGAGACACACCAAAUCUUUGGCUUCAGGUCACAUGUUGCUCUGGAGAACCGAGAAGGGUGAGCAGACACCAAUCAUGACCCCAAACAGCAAGAGGACAGAAGGGAUCCCCCCUACUCCACAGCUUGACGGCAGAGCAGUGACCAGAAUAUAUGCUCAGGAAGGCCAAAGAGAUGAAGCCGCAGCUGCCUCUUUUUUUUUUUUGAGACAGUCUCAUUCUGUUGCCCGGGCUGGAGUGCAGUGGUGCGAUCUCGGCUCACUGUAACCUCCACCUCCCAGGUUCAAGCAAUUCUCGUACCUCAGCCUCCCAGGUAGCUGGAACUAUACAGGUGUACCAUCACACCCGGCUAAUUAUUUUUUGUCUUUUUUUGUAGAGAUGGGGUUUCGCCAUGUUGGUCAGGCUGGUCUCGAACUCCUGGCCUCAGGUGAUCCACGCACCUCCGCCUCCCAAAGUCCUGGGAUUAGAGGCGUGAGCCACCGUGCCCAGCCAGGCUUGCUUCUCUGAGCCAUACCCUUCUGUUGGAACAAGCAUCCUUUCUAUUAAAAGCAAUAAAUCUCCUCUUA
This 1036-nucleotide long non-coding RNA is filed under the name Homo sapiens (human). Its description in RNAcentral is "HSALNT0295667". Lineage: Eukaryota; Metazoa; Chordata; Mammalia; Primates; Hominidae. The record is from RNAcentral.